This 336-nucleotide ribosomal RNA is filed under the name uncultured bacterium. RNAcentral's name for it is "bacterial SSU rRNA". It matches the Rfam family "Bacterial small subunit ribosomal RNA", at positions 568 to 898 of the family's 1533-position model. The record is from RNAcentral.
CUUGUAGGCGGCCUGUUAAGUUCCGUGUGAAAGCCCAUGGCUUAACCAUGGAAGUGCGCGGAAAACUGGCGGGCUUGAGUGCCGGAGAGGGUCGCGGAAUUCCCGGUGUAAAAAGAGGUGAAAUUCGUAGAUAUCGGGAGGAACACCAGUGGCGAAGGCGGCGACCUGGACGGACACUGACGCUGAGACGCGAAAGCGUGGGGAGCAAACAGGAUUAGAUACCCUGGUAGUCCACGCUGUAAACGAUGGGUGCUAGGUGUGGCGGGUUUUGACCCCUGCCGUGCCGCAGCUAACGCAAUAAGCACCCCGCCUGGGAAGUACGGCCGCAAGGCUAAA